Molecule: non-coding RNA, 77 nt
Filed under: Streptomyces mangrovisoli
Lineage: Bacteria; Bacillati; Actinomycetota; Actinomycetes; Kitasatosporales; Streptomycetaceae
Source: RNAcentral
GGGGAAGCCGGUGCAAAUCCGGCGCUGACCCGCAACCGUGAGCGGUCCCGCGCAGGGUUCCGUGAGCCGGACUGCCC